ACUCCUACGGGAGGCAGCUAGUGGGAAUUUUGGACAAUGGGCGAAAGCCUGAUCCAGCCAUGCCGCGUGAGUGAAGAAGGCCUUCGGGUUGUAAAGCUCUUUCAGGUGAGAAGAAAUGGCGCUGUCUAAUACAUGGCGUCGAUGACGGUACCACCAGAAGAAGCACCGGCUAACUACGUGCCAGCAGCCGCGGUAAUACGUAGGGUGCGAGCGUUAAUCGGAAUUACUGGGCGUAAAGCGUGCGCAGGCGGUUGUGUAAGACAGGUGUGAAAUCCCCGGGCUUAACCUGGGAACUGCGCUUGUGACUGCACGGCUAGAGUACGGUAGAGGGGGUGGAAUUCCACGUGUAGCAGUGAAAUGCGUAGAGAUGUGGAGGAACACCGAUGGCGAAGGCAGCCCCCUGGGCCUGUCAGCUGACGCUCCAUGCACGAAAGCGUGGGGAGCAAACAGGAUUAGAUAGCCCUGGUAGGCU
Molecule: ribosomal RNA, 472 nt
Filed under: uncultured bacterium
Lineage: Bacteria
Description: bacterial SSU rRNA
Rfam family: Bacterial small subunit ribosomal RNA
Source: RNAcentral